This is a transfer RNA of Cladophialophora immunda, 87 nucleotides long. It matches the Rfam family "tRNA". From Rfam's summary of the family: Transfer RNA (tRNA) molecules are approximately 80 nucleotides in length. Their secondary structure includes four short double-helical elements and three loops (D, anti-codon, and T loops). Further hydrogen bonds mediate the characteristic L-shaped molecular structure. tRNAs have two regions of fundamental functional importance: the anti-codon, which is responsible for specific mRNA codon recognition, and the 3' end, to which the tRNAs corresponding amino acid is attached (by aminoacyl-tRNA synthetases). tRNAs cope with the degeneracy of the genetic code in two manners: having more than one tRNA (with a specific anti-codon) for a particular amino acid; and 'wobble' base-pairing, i.e. permitting non-standard base-pairing at the 3rd anti-codon position. The record is from Rfam. NCBI's taxonomy places the organism in Eukaryota, Fungi, Ascomycota, Eurotiomycetes, Chaetothyriales, Herpotrichiellaceae.
GCUUCGAUAGCUCAGUGGUAGAGCGAGAGAUUGCAGUCGCCAUGCUCGAAUAUCUCUAGGUCACGUGUUCGAACCACGUUCGGAGCU